Molecule: ribosomal RNA, 466 nt
Filed under: uncultured bacterium
Lineage: Bacteria
Description: partial 16S ribosomal RNA
Rfam family: Bacterial small subunit ribosomal RNA
Source: RNAcentral
GAUGAACGCUGGCGGCGUGCUUAACACAUGCAAGUCGAACGGAAAGGCCCAAGCUUGCUUGGGUGCUCGAGUGGCGAACGGGUGAGUAACACGUGGGUGAUCUGCCCUGCACUUUGGGAUAAGCCUGGGAAACUGGGUCUAAUACCGGAUAGGACCAUCGUUUAGUGUCGGUGGUGGAAAGUUUUUCGGUGUGGGAUGAGCUCGCGGCCUAUCAGCUUGUUGGUGGGGUAAUGGCCUACCAAGGCGUCGACGGGUAGCCGGCCUGAGAGGGUGUACGGCCACAUUGGGACUGAGAUACGGCCCAGACUCCUACGGGAGGCAGCAGUGGGGAAUACUGCACAAUGGGCGCAAGCCUGAUGCAGCGACGCCGCGUGGGGGAUGACGGCCUUCGGGUUGUAAACUCCUUUCGCCAAGGACGAAGCGUUUUGUGACGGUACUUGGAGAAGAAGCACCGGCUAACUACGUG